Molecule: long non-coding RNA, 559 nt
Organism: Ornithodoros turicata
Lineage: Eukaryota; Metazoa; Arthropoda; Arachnida; Ixodida; Argasidae
Exons: 2
Source: RefSeq, a predicted model, not a curated record
UGUGCAUUCAGUUUUGAAAUGGAUCCUUGGAGCAGACGGCAGCAGCCGUUCAAAGUACCAAAACUACGAUGGUACCAUCGCCAUUUCCGUUAUAUUAGGCUCGCUGUACUGACAGGAGCUACGGCACUCUUUUUGAGCCGUCCCAUAUACGACAUAUUCUUGAGAGACUACUUUGAAGGCCCAAGGCCGAGGAUAGAAAUUAGCCUGCGCCAGUUGAUAGAAAAACCAAAGGAAGGCGAAGAGCCCAAACCAUGGAAGGAAUUCGUAGCAGAACAGCUGUACCUCGCAGAAGAAAGAGCACAACAAAAACAAGAGGAAAGAAAGCAAAAAGAAGAGAAGAAAAGACUAGCAGAAUUAUCCUGAUUACGGCGAGUAGCAGACCAGUGUCGCACUUUACGUGAUUGGCUGAAACGGGGCAACUUGCUAGUAUUAAAAAAAAAAAAAAAAAAAAACUCGUUGAUACCGUAGUGGGAAUCACAACGCAAUGUUGGAAGGCCUGCAGAACAGUUUGUUUUAUUAGCUUUGUAUUAGCAAAAUAAAAAUUGCACGCACAUGGCAG